GACGUAGGGCGCGAGCGUUGUCCGGAUUUAUUGGGCGUAAAGAGCUCGUAGGCGGCUUGUCGCGUCGACCGUGAAAACUCGCAGCUCAACUGCGAGCCUGCGGUCGAUACGGGCAGGCUAGAGUUCGGUAGGGGAGACUGGAAUUCCUGGUGUAGCGGUGAAAUGCGCAGAUAUCAGGAGGAACACCGGUGGCGAAGGCGGAUCUCUGGGCCUUACCUGACGCUGAGGCGCGAAAGCUAGGGGAGCAAACAGG
Molecule: ribosomal RNA, 253 nt
Filed under: uncultured bacterium
Lineage: Bacteria
Description: partial 16S ribosomal RNA
Rfam family: Bacterial small subunit ribosomal RNA
Source: RNAcentral